RNAcentral lists this ribosomal RNA (253 nucleotides) under uncultured bacterium. Its description in RNAcentral is "partial 16S ribosomal RNA". It matches the Rfam family "Bacterial small subunit ribosomal RNA", at positions 524 to 776 of the family's 1533-position model. The record is from RNAcentral.
UACGUAGGGACCGAGCGUUGUCCGGAAUCAUUGGGCGUAAAGAGCGUGUAGGCGGCUUGCUAAGUCUUGCGUGAAAUCUCGGGGCUCAACCCCGAGCGGUCGUGGGAAACUGGCAGGCUAGAGUGCGGGAGAGGAGCGUGGAAUUCCCAGUGUAGAGGUGAAAUUCGUAGAUAUUGGGAAGAACACCGGUGGCGAAGGCGGCGCUCUGGACCGAGACUGACGCUGAGGCGCGAAGGCGUGGGGAGCAAACAGG